Molecule: RNase P RNA, 248 nt
Filed under: Actinomycetota bacterium
Lineage: Bacteria; Bacillati; Actinomycetota
Description: Actinobacteria bacterium (freshwater metagenome) partial RNase P RNA component class A
Rfam family: Bacterial RNase P class A
About the family: Ribonuclease P (RNase P) is a ubiquitous endoribonuclease, found in archaea, bacteria and eukarya as well as chloroplasts and mitochondria. Its best characterised activity is the generation of mature 5'-ends of tRNAs by cleaving the 5'-leader elements of precursor-tRNAs.
Source: RNAcentral
UGGGUCGGCUGGACGGUCGCGUCACGGGUUCGCCCGUGCCGAGGAACGUCCGGGCUCCACAGGGCAGGACGGUGGGUAACACCCACCCGGAGCAAUCCGCGAGACAGUGCCACAGAGAGCAGACCGCCCGCCUCGUGCGGGUAAGGGUGAAAGGGUGGUGUAAGAGACCACCGGGGUCGUGGUGACACGACCCGCACGGUAAACCUCGUCCGGAGCAAGGCCAGACAGGGGAUGUCGACGCGGCUCGC